GACGAACGCUGGCGGCGUGCUUAACACAUGCAAGUCGAACGAAUAGCGAUGGACGCUUGCUUCUAUCACUCUUAGUGGCGAACGGGUGAGUAACGCGUAAUCAACCUGCCCUUCAGAGGGGGACAACAGUUGGAAACGACUGCUAAUACCGCAUACGAUCUAAUCUCGGCAUCGAGCAUAGAUGAAAGGUGGCCUCUACAUGUAAGCUAUCACUGCAGGAGGGGAUUGCGUCUGAUUAGCUAGUUGGAGGGGUAACGGCCCACCAAGGCGAUGAUCAGUAGCCGGUCUGAGAGGAUGAACGGCCACAUUGGGACUGAGACACGGCCCAGACUCCUACGGGAGGCAGCAGUGGGGAAUCUUCCGCAAUGGACGAAAGUCUGACGGAGCAACGCCGCGUGAGCGAUGACGGCCUUCGGGUUGUAAAGCUCUGUUAAUCGGGACGAAAGGCAUUCUGGCGAAUAGUGAGAAGGAUUGACGGUACCGGAAUAGAAAGCCACGGCUAACUACGU
Molecule: ribosomal RNA, 509 nt
Filed under: uncultured bacterium
Lineage: Bacteria
Description: partial 16S ribosomal RNA
Rfam family: Bacterial small subunit ribosomal RNA
Source: RNAcentral